UCCUCAAGUACCGUCAGAACUUCUUCCUUGAGAAAAGAGGUUUACAACCCACAGGCCGUCAUCCCUCACGCGGUAUUGCUCCGUCAGGCUUUCGCCCAUUGCGGAAAAUUCCCA
Molecule: ribosomal RNA, 114 nt
Filed under: uncultured eukaryote
Lineage: Eukaryota
Description: partial 16S ribosomal RNA
Source: RNAcentral